RNAcentral lists this long non-coding RNA (2044 nucleotides) under Carassius auratus (goldfish). RNAcentral's name for it is "lncRNA (ENSCARG00000032518.1)". The record is from RNAcentral. Lineage: Eukaryota; Metazoa; Chordata; Actinopteri; Cypriniformes; Cyprinidae.
AUGUCACAAAAGAAGUGUGUUUUUGGUUGCGAGGGCAAGACAACCCUGCACAGAUUACCAAAGAAAAAACCAUCAAGGGACCAGUGGGCGGAGUUUAUUUUUAAAGAGCAUCGACGGAGUUUUGCAAGUGUUUUUGUUUGUUCCCUGCAUUUCGAAGAUGCUUGUUUUACAAACAAGGCCCAGUUUGACGCCGGAUUUGCAUAUAGUUUAUUUCUUAAGGAUAAUGCAGUCCCAACGAAAAAGGGUCACGAUCGUGUGUUGGAACCGCAGGCGGUGAGUAAAACUGCUUCAAAUAUCUCUGCCUCCUUGUUAGAGGAGACCCGGGUUCGAGCCCCGCUCGGAGUGAGUCGUUGCUGCUGCUGCUCUCGUUCAGUUUCAGCCUCGGGAUCUGAUUCUGGAUCAUAAAUAUACGGCUGAAUCUGACUGUUAGCCAUGGUUUGUUUUGGACGAUGUUUUUUUCCUCACGGUAAUGUCGCAGCUUCCAGCUCUCAACGCAAAAGCCUACUGCCGCGUGUGAUUCUUUAGCUCCGCCCACACGUCACGCCUCCAGCGGCUCGUGUUUUUCCGAAAAAAAUCGGCACAGACUAUUUUUCUCUUAUAAAUAUAAUAAUACUAAAGACUUUUUGGAGAUAUGAAGGAUGCAGUACUACUCUAUAGGUACUCAAGAUUAACAGGAGAUUGAGUGAAAAUGAGCAUUUCACCCCCCACUUUAAAUGGACUUGAGAACAGACCAUGUGUCCAGAGGAGAGCGUUUUUUAUUCAACUAUCCAGCUGUUGAGAAGACGCGCUCCGACUGCACUGAUGUCCCAGGGACACUCAGGUAAUGCUGCGCAAGGUGGGAGUAUUACUGCCAAUUGUCCACCACAAAAUCCGGUCGCUCUCAGCUUGCAAUGGUCCUUUUCAUAACUCAGAAUCUCCUGUAACUAGAUGCGCGAAUAAGACGAAUUCGCGUCUACCUCUCCGCGAGACCUCCAGAUGCGCGGAAACGCAUCUUUACCAGGCGGCAAGGAAGUCGACCAGAAGUUGAAGUCGGCCGCGUGCCGCCAUCUUGUAGCAGAACUUCAUUUGCGUUAGCAUUACCAUUGACUCCCAUUCAUUUUGGCGUCACUUUGACAGCGAAUAACUUUACAUCUGAGGCGUUUAAAGACUUUAUUAUUUAUUUCUAAAGAUACACGACAAUGUACUGUAUAAAGGGCUCCAUUACCUUCUAUGUUACAUUAUGGCCCUGUAGAAACAGUUUUUGUAAAAAUAGGCUAAUGAUUGCGUCAUAACCACUUGACUCUCUGUCGCAUUACCGAACAGACAGGAGGAGAAGCUCGAAGGCAAUUAACUUAAUAUGGCAUACUGGCAUUACAUUUUAAAAUACUAUACAAAAUAAUUAAUCAGAAUACUUACUCCUGCUCACUCACAACAAAGAACUCCCCGUUCAAGCUCACCGUCACCGGAAAUGCUAAAAAACGCUAAAAAUGGGCUUCACUUGUCUCAAUUGAGUUCCAAUGGGGUCGCUGUGUCCAUUUCUUUUACUGUCUAUGGUCUUUACAUUGCCUUAACAUUGAAAUCAUUCGCGCCAGACGCUCUAUUCGCUUUCGACGUCACUGGGUCUUAUAGGCACGUAAAAUUGCUGGUAUUUUCUGUCUAGCUUUUGCAAGGCAUACUGCACUUUCGGAAUUCUUAAUUUUCUUUUUCUGCUUGUUUGUGAGUUUUGUUACAUCUAGAUUUUUUAAUUGUUUAAUUAUUUUAAAAUAAAUACUGUACAUAUUUAGUUAAAAUUGAUUCCCUGUUUUCAUUUUCGAAACUUUUUUUGGUUGGUCCGAUCGAUUAUGCAAUCGAUUUUCGAACUAAAAGUGACAGCCUUAGUCACUUCUGAUAUAAUCCACAUGCCACUGCAGUCAGCAUAUUGUCUGACACUGUUCUGUAUUUGAGCAUGCUUUUCCUGGUCAUGAGGCUCCUAAACCCAUCCUGACACUCAUCAAUCCCUGAAGCCUGAGUCUGAUCUUCACAAGGCCAGACAGAUGUGUGGCUCACAGCUAAACCCAACAUGAAC